Molecule: non-coding RNA, 1183 nt
Organism: Paralichthys olivaceus (Japanese flounder)
Lineage: Eukaryota; Metazoa; Chordata; Actinopteri; Pleuronectiformes; Paralichthyidae
Source: RefSeq, a predicted model, not a curated record
GUUUCCCAACCUGUGAUGAACCUGAGUUGGGUUUGUAUCCUGAGUGGGAACUGACUGAAUACAAUUAGCACCAACAUGACCAGUGCGCAGCUGAAGCUCGUCUCUGAUGACAUGAGGGCAGGAGGAGCGGGAGAAACACGUUCACGGCUGUGGGUGACGUCAUUAACGAACAAGCCAGAGUGCGGCGCUUGCUGGAGAGAACACAGGAGUGGAGCAGAAAUCUUCGGACGACUAAAUCAUUUUAAACGUUUUUAGGACAAAUCUACGAUUUUAACACAAGUUUUGUGGAGGGUCUGUUGCUGUUCAAUCGGAAAAUUAAAAGUUUGGAUGACUGUUGUUGAGGAAAUGCAAAAUUUGCACGAGUUACGUCAAGCCUACACAAUAACUAAAGCGAAUGAGGAGCCUCCGUGCGAGAACCAGCAGACUGAGAGACAGCUUCAUUCGCCAAGCCAUCAGGAUGCCAAACUAUCAAAGUGUUUUUUCUCGAUAAACCCAGUAAAAGGAACCAAAGUAGAGAAUUAAAACUCCAAGCGUCGUCUCAACAUGAACCCACGAGUCCUCACCCUGAUACAGGAACUCUCCGAUCACGAGUGGCGUUAAGCCUAAAUAUGGACUCUUUCUGUGGACUCUCGCUGUUUGUUUGAGAAGAGGUAGUGUUUUUGCUUUGUUAAAUCCACAAUGUGCUAGAUAGCAUAUCUUGACAUUUUGAUCCAAGACUAUUUGGAGUUGAUUAAGAUGUUUCCUGAAAUUCAACUAAAUUCAAGCACCACUAUUUGUUCCAUUAUUCAGCACUGUUCUUGAAGUUUGGUCCAUUGAUUAGGUUAUGGAUGCUUAGUUUUGAGAGCACUUAAGGCACAAUAUGUAAUUUUUGUUUAACAGUCUUAAUGGUGCACUAUGUAACUUUUUCUGGUAGAGGGUCUGCCACCUGCUUGUUUCAUGAAGAUGUUCUUUCUUUGCAGGAAUGAUCCACAGUAAGGUAUAAAACGUAUCUUGCAUUUAUUCAAUUAGAACUGUUUUUAUUGCAAACAAAUACCUUAACAAACGUGCAUUCUUACUGUGAGGGGGCUCACCUCUCCACAGAUCUGACCUGUAACUUGGCCUGUUGGCAUCACCUGAUUGUUGUUUGAAAAAAAAAAAGCAUCCACUUAUGACGAUUGCUGUUAAAUAAAUGUCCCAAAAGUGA